UGGAUAGGGGUGAAAUGCCAACCGAACGUGGAGAUAGCUGGUUCUCCCCGAAAUGUAUUGAGGUACAGCCACCACGUAUGUGUGCUGGAGGUAGCGCACUGGAUGGGGACGGGGCCAAACGCUGGUUACCAACCUCAACCAAACGACCAAUGCCAGCACGACCCAGUGGUGCGUGAGACGGCGGGGGCUAAGCUUCGUCGUCGAAAGGGAAACAGCCCAGACCACCAGCUAAGGUCUCUCAAUCGAUGCUCAGUGUCAAAGGCCGUCCGUUUGCUCCAACAGCCAGGAUGUUGGCUUAGAAGCAGCCAUCAUUGAAAGAGUGCGUAAUAGCUCACUGGUCGAGUGCGCCCGCGCCGACAACGUAGCGAGGCUCAAGCAUCGUACCGACGCUGUGGAUAUCCGUGUGCUGAGGCAACUCAGCCCAGAAUGGGUAUGGUAGGGGAGCGUUCCGCCCAGCGGAGAAGCCUGAUCGGAAGAACAGGUGGAGCGAGCGGAAGAGCGAAUGCCGGAAUGAGUAGCGUCAUUGGGUGUGCGAACCACCCACACCGCAAGCCUGAGGGUUCCUGGGCACCGUCAAUCGUCCCAGGGUCAGUCGGGUCCUAAGCCGAGGACGUCAUAGUCGUAGGCGAUGGCAAGCAGGUUGGAUAGUCCUGCACCAGCAGGCGUCGUUAUGAGGUAGGCGGGGACGCGAUAGGGACCCGCAGCCGGUCGAAUGGACAGGACCGGUUGGCAACUGGAAGCCGCACACCGUGGCAAAUCCCGGUGUGGUGACGGUGACCGCUGUCACGAGCCUUCGUAAGAGGGCGGAAGUGCGCCAUCCCCAGGUCGCCCAGAAAAGCCGCUCCCCAGACGCUCUUGCUGCCCGUACCGCACACCGACACUGGUAGGCUGGGGGACUUCCCCCCAGGUGGACGAGCGCACCUCUGUCAAGGAACUCGGCAAAUUGACCCCGUACCUUCGGAAGAAGGGGUACCCUGGUAGCUUCCUCCCGUUGCAAUACGAGAGGGGGUGAGAGGGUCGCAGUGAAAGGGCUCAAGCGACUGUUUACCAAAAACACAGGUCUCUGCCAACGCGCAAGCGGAUGUAUAGGGGCUGACUCCUGCCCAGUGCCGGAAGGUCAAGCGGACUCGUGGUCGUAGCGAGGAAGCGAAGCCCCGGUGAACGGCGGCCGUAACUAUAACGGUCCUAAGGUAGCGAAAUUCCUUGUCGGGUAAGUUCCGACCCGCACGAAAGGAGUAACGACUUGAGCACUGUCUCGACAGGGGGCUCGGCGAAAUUGAAGUACCCGUGAAGAUACGGGUUUCCCACGACAGGACAAAAAGACCCCGUGGAGCUUUACUACACCCUGGUCUGGAGACGAGCGCAGGCCUGCGUAGCAUAGGUGGGAGCCGGAGAACCCCUCCUUGUGGGGAGGGGGGAGGCGUCGGUGAAAUACCACUCUUGUCUGUGCUUGUCUCUCAUGUCUCAUCCGUGAUCCGGCAGGCAGACAGGGCCAGGCGGGGAGUUUGACUGGGGCGGU
RNAcentral lists this ribosomal RNA (1519 nucleotides) under sediment metagenome. RNAcentral's name for it is "bacterial LSU rRNA". It matches the Rfam family "Bacterial large subunit ribosomal RNA", at positions 812 to 2283 of the family's 2925-position model. The record is from RNAcentral.